RNAcentral lists this non-coding RNA (29 nucleotides) under Rattus norvegicus (Norway rat). Lineage: Eukaryota; Metazoa; Chordata; Mammalia; Rodentia; Muridae. The record is from RNAcentral.
UCCAGAACCUCCAAUGGUGCAGGACCUCC